GCUUGUCUCAAAGAUUAAGCCAUGCAUGUCUAAGUGUAAAUAAGUCUAUACUGUGAAACUGCGAAUGGCUCAUUAAAUCAGUUAUCGUUUAUUUGAUGAUCUCUUACUACUUGGAUAACCGUAGUAAUUCUAGAGCUAAUACAUGCACAAAAUCCCGACUUACGAAGGGAUGUAUUUAUUAGAUACAAACCAACAUCGUGGUGAUUCAUAAUAACUGAUCGAAUCUCAAAUUUGAGAUAAAUCAUUCAAGUUUCUGCCCUAUCAGCUUUCGAUGGUAGUGUAUUGGACUACCAUGGCAGUAACGGGUAACGAAGAAUUAGGGUUCGAUUUCGGAGAGGGAGCCUGAGAAAUGGCUACCACAUCCAAGGAAGGCAGCAGG
Molecule: ribosomal RNA, 379 nt
Filed under: uncultured Katablepharidophyta
Lineage: Eukaryota; Cryptophyceae; Kathablepharidacea
Description: partial small subunit ribosomal RNA
Rfam family: Eukaryotic small subunit ribosomal RNA
Source: RNAcentral